GCCAACAUCCAUACCACGUUGAAAGUACCAGUUCUCGUCCGAUCACUGAAGUCAAGCAACACUGGGCACUGGGUUGGAUAGGUGACCGCUUGGGAAACUUCUGUGGAAUGGACA
Molecule: ribosomal RNA, 114 nt
Filed under: Ooceraea biroi (clonal raider ant)
Lineage: Eukaryota; Metazoa; Arthropoda; Insecta; Hymenoptera; Formicidae
Source: RNAcentral